AGCUCAGUAUUUUAUAAACUCCUGCAGAAUAAAUCAGAGACAACACCUUCAUAAAGAUCCUGACAGAAGUCUCAACUCAAACUACAAAAUCAUGUUACUCAUCUCUUCUGUUUUGAUAUUUGUCUUCAGCUACUGUGAAUCUAAUGGGAAUGUCAUCAAACCAAACCAGCUAUCUGUAGUUUUAGCUGAAGGAAGCAGCACCACUCUGUCCUGUUCAUAUGAUGGAUCAGCUUACAGUCUUCACUGGUAUCGACAGAAGCCUGGAUCAAAACCAGAGUUUCUGCUGCUGAUUGUGAGGUCUACUAAAACUGUAGUCCCAGCUUCUCCACCUCAUCCACAUAUGUCCACCAGACACCAUGAUAACAAAAGUGUGGAUCUGGAGAUCUUCUCUGCUGCUGUAUCAGACUCUGCAGUGUAUUACUGUGCCCUGGAGCCCACAGUGACAGGAAAACAUGCUACACCCUACAAAAACCUUCUCAUGCAUAUGUUUCAGAUGAUAUCUUUGAUUUCCUUUAUGCUGAUAAUAUAA
This is a non-coding RNA of Carassius auratus (goldfish), 529 nucleotides long. The record is from the annotation of a RefSeq genome assembly. NCBI's taxonomy places the organism in Eukaryota, Metazoa, Chordata, Actinopteri, Cypriniformes, Cyprinidae.